AUAUAAGAAUGGAGCUGGAGUUGUUGGGGGAAAUAGCAUCCAAGUCUAGGUGCUGACCAAAACAGAAUCUCAUAAGGGGACAAGGCAAACCUCCCUCGGGGUGUGUACCUUACACUAAACAGGGCAAUGGGAAGACUCUCUGGUCAGGACAGGUUAGUUUCUUGGGCCAUUUUUAGCAUUCUGGCUUUUAAGGUGCCAUUCAUGCACUCUACCUUGCCGCUACUCUGAGGGUGGUAGGGAGUGUGGAAUACAAGGGUCACCCCCAGUGAUGCCCAGAUU
Molecule: non-coding RNA, 279 nt
Organism: Pelobates cultripes (western spadefoot toad)
Lineage: Eukaryota; Metazoa; Chordata; Amphibia; Anura; Pelobatidae
Source: the annotation of a GenBank genome assembly